AUUCACCAUGUCUAUUCUCAAGAUCCAUGCCAGGGAGAUCUUUGACUCUCACGGGAAUCCCACUGUUGAGGUUGAUCUCUUCACCGCAAAAGUUCUCUUCAGAGCUGCUGUGCCCAGUAGGGCUUCAACUGGUAUCUAUGAGGCCCUAGUGCUCCAGGACAAUGAUAAGACUUGCUAUAUGGGGAAGGGUUUCUCCAAGGCUGUUGAGCACAUCUGUAAAACUAUUGUGCCUACCCUGGUUAGCAAGAAACUGAAUGUUACAGAACAGGAGAAGAUUAACAAACUGAUGAUCGAGAUGGUUGGAACAGAAAGUAAAUCUAAGUUUGGUACAAAUGCCAUUCUGCGGGUGUCCCUCACCAUCUGCAAAGCUGGUCCUAUUGAGAAGGAGGAUCCCCCUGUACCGCCACAUCGCCAACUUGGCUGGCAACUCCGAAGUCAUCCUGCUAGUUCCGGCAUUCGAUCUCAUCAAUGGUGGUUCUCAUGCUGGCAACAAGCUGGCCAUGCAGGAGUUCAUGAUCCUCCCAGUGGGUGCCGCAAACUUCAGGGAAGCCAUGUGCAUUGGAGUGGAGGUUUAUCACAAUCUGAAGAAUGUCAUCAAGGAGAAAUAUGGGAAAGAUGCCACCAAUGUGGGAGAUGAAGGCAGGUUUCCUCCCAACAUCCUGGAGAAUAAAGAAGGCUUGGAGCUGCUGAAGACUGCGAUUGGCAAAGCUGGCUACACUGAUAAUGUGGUCAUUGGCAUGGACAUAGCAGCCUCUGAGUUCUUCAGGUCUGUGAAGUAUGUCUCCCAAUGACCCCAACAGGUACAUCUCACCUGACCAGCUGGCUGACCUGUACAAGUCCUUCGUCAAGGACUACCCAGUGGUGUCUACGGAAGAUCCCAUUGACCAGGAUGACCGGGGAGCUUGGCAGAAGUUCAUGGCCAGUUCAGGAAUCCAGGUAGUGGGGGAUAAUCUCACAGUGACCAACCCAGAGAGUACUGCCAAGGUCAUGAAUAAGAAGUCAUGCAAUUACCUUCUGCUCAAAGUGAACCAGAUUGGCUCCCUGACCAAGUCCCUUCAGGCGUGCAAGCUGGCCCAUGCCAAUGGUUGGGGUGUCAUGGUGUCUCAUCGUUCUGGGGAGACUGAAGAUACCUUCUUCACCAACCUGGUGGUGGGGCUGUGAACUGGGCAGACCAAGACUGGUGCUCCUUGCUGAUCCAAGUACUUGGCCAAGUACAACCAGCUCCUCAGAAUUGAAGAGGAGCUGCGCAGCAAGCCUACGUUUGCCAGCAGGAACUUCAGAAACCCCCUGGCCAAGUAAGCUGUGGGCAGGCCAGCCCUUCAGUCACCUGUUGGCUAAUUAGACCCUCCCCUCGUGUCAGCUCAGGCACCUCGAGGCCCCUGACCAACACUUACAGGGGCCCCUGCUAAUUAGCUCCCCUCACACACCGCCAUGGAGUUCGUACCACCUUCUUGGAAGAUCUACAGAAGCCAAGCUCCCUGGAACCCUGUUGGCAGCUCUAGCUUUGCAGCUGUGUAAUUGGCCCAAAUCAUUGUUUGUCUUGCCUUGAUUUCCACCAAGUGUCUGGAGUCAUGUGAGCCUCCAGCAUCGUCUCUGGGGUGGCCACAGGCAAGAUCCCCAGUGGUUUUGUGCUCAAAAUAAAAAGCCCCAGUAACCCAUG
Callithrix jacchus (white-tufted-ear marmoset) is the source of this 1660-nucleotide non-coding RNA. NCBI's taxonomy places the organism in Eukaryota, Metazoa, Chordata, Mammalia, Primates, Cebidae. The record is from RefSeq and is a predicted model, not a curated record.